This 253-nucleotide ribosomal RNA is filed under the name uncultured bacterium. RNAcentral's name for it is "partial 16S ribosomal RNA". It matches the Rfam family "Bacterial small subunit ribosomal RNA", at positions 524 to 776 of the family's 1533-position model. The record is from RNAcentral.
UACGUAGGGACCGAGCGUUGUCCGGAUUCAUUGGGCGUAAAGAGCUCGUAGGCGGUUUGUCGCGUCUGCCGUGAAAGUCCGGGGCUCAACUCCGGAUCUGCGGUGGGUACGGGCAGACUAGAGUGAUGUAGGGGAGACUGGAAUUCCUGGUGUAGCGGUGAAAUGCGCAGAUAUCAGGAGGAACACCGAUGGCGAAGGCAGGUCUCUGGGCAUUAACUGACGCUGAGGAGCGAAAGCAUGGGGAGCGAACAGG